CAAGAAUUUUAUCCUGGCUCAGGACGAACGCUGGCGGCGUGCUUAACACAUGCAAGUCGAACGGAAAGGCCCUGCUUUUGUGGGGUGCUCGAGUGGCGAACGGGUGAGUAACACGUGAGUAACCUGCCCUUGACUUUGGGAUAACUUCAGGAAACUGGGGCUAAUACCGGAUAGGAGCUCCUGCUGCAUGGUGGGGGUUGGAAAGUUUCGGCGGUUGGGGAUGGACUCGCGGCUUAUCAGCUUGUUGGUGGGGUAGUGGCUUACCAAGGCUUUGACGGGUAGCCGGCCUGAGAGGGUGACCGGCCACAUUGGGACUGAGAUACGGCCCAGACUCCUACGGGAGGCAGCAGUGGGGAAUAUUGCACAAUGGGCGGAAGCCUGAUGCAGCAACGCCGCGUGCGGGAUGACGGCCUUCGGGUUGUAAACCGCUUUCGCCUGUGACGAAGCUUGUAGUGACGGUAAUGGGUAAAGAAGCACCGGCUA
RNAcentral lists this ribosomal RNA (483 nucleotides) under uncultured Propionibacterium sp. Its description in RNAcentral is "bacterial SSU rRNA". It matches the Rfam family "Bacterial small subunit ribosomal RNA", at positions 1 to 499 of the family's 1533-position model. The record is from RNAcentral. Lineage: Bacteria; Bacillati; Actinomycetota; Actinomycetes; Propionibacteriales; Propionibacteriaceae.